Molecule: long non-coding RNA, 2852 nt
Filed under: Sus scrofa (pig)
Lineage: Eukaryota; Metazoa; Chordata; Mammalia; Artiodactyla; Suidae
Description: lncRNA (ENSSSCG00035020034.1)
Source: RNAcentral
AAAUCAGAAAGAAGAGGCCAGAAUAGAGUUUAAAUUGUUGACACCAACGAUGAACAUUGAGUGGAAGUCCUUGGGAAAAGUGAAAAAUAAGGCUGUUGUAUGAGAGACUCAUUGGCCUAUUUUCUGAAGUGUUGAAGCCUCAUCCUUCUCAGGAAGAGCAUCCAGAUCCUCAGUUUUCCUGCUACAAAUGGAGAAGAAUACAUGAAUCCUGGCCCUUGUCCUGGGAAAGAGAGUCUCUAAAGAUGGUCCACUCUGCUCCAUUCUGCUCUGUAUGUAUAUGCAGCUCCUCUCAUAUUGGAAACUACACUGCAUCUGUAACUACUUUGACUGAGAAGAUGUGGAAAAGUGACCUUCUGGGACUUCUGAGCAAGUUCUCCUGGCUGUUGUGAACGCCGUGGUGCACAGAGAAUGAUGGAUGGAAGUGAUGGAGUCACUAAUAAGCCCUUGGACCCCCAUGGCCUGCUGCACACACAGAGAAUAGAGGUUUGAUUCUCUUUUUUGGUUUCUGGCCACCACCAUCCUGGCAGGAAGUGAAAAGGGGCUAGUUUUAUAAUGUAAUUUGUUCCACAAAUAAAGAAAGUACAAGAGACUUCAGAUCUAUGAAUUCAGAAUUUCUCAAAUGAAAAUGAAAUGCUACUAACUGAUGAUGUCCUUAAGGUGAAGCAGAUCUAGCUGAUUUGCAUAGAACAACAACAAAAAGAUUGCAGAUCCUACUUUCUUAUAUGGGCUCCAUCAUCACAGCAUCAUCCAGGAAGAGUGUAAGAUCCAGGGCCUGAUGAUACAGUUUCUGAUACACAACCUGCCCAGUGAUUUUGUCUGCAUAUUUCCCUUCCUCUGUGAAUGGGGUUGGCAACUACACCCACCAAGAAGUGACAGCAGUCGAUAGCUAGAAUAUUAAAGUCUGAUGUGUGUGACUAGGGUUCAAUGAAAAUACAUCAGGAAAGAUGAAACCCUUCCAAUUCAGUUGCACAUAUUGCUCUGCAAUUUUCAAAACCAAAAUACCCUGAGUCUCUAUUGAAACACAUUGCAGUGUCCCAUCACCCGUGGCUUUCAGAAUGUGAUCUGACAUUGUUUUCUCCAUUUCCCAUUUUCUCAGUUAAAUGGGAAGCAUAUUUGUAAAUGAUAUUUAUUUUGCUGUGAGUAAGGUUUGGAUUCCUUUCUCCUUCAUAGAUGUGUGCUUUACCUCUGCCCUCUCUUAAUGUAUUUCUAUGAAGUACAUAAAAAUGGGGCUCCAAAUCCAGACAAGCAUCUUCCUAGUUAUCAUGAUGAAGACAGGGAUGGGAAAUGUAUGUUGCUAAAAUGACUUUUAACCAUUUUUUACAUAAUUAUCUCUAUUUAUCCAUAUAGAAUUUUCUACCUCCCCUCUCAUUCUAAUUCUGUUGGAUGAUAAGGAUCUUGUUGCGUGUAGGAGAAGGAUACUUGAUGAAGGAAGCAGAUAGUUCUACCUUUUCCUACAUCUUUUCCAUAGUUCUAGCACUUUCUCUUUACAUUUCUCCCCUCUAUAGUCCUGAAAAUGAGAUCUUUGGGCAGCAUGAGGUGGAAGACUCCUUAUGUGGUGGUAGGUGGAGCCUAGUCAACAUUGAAUGAUGCAUAAAGCAUUGACUUUGAAUAAUGUGUGCAACUUGACAUCUGUGUGCUUUGGGGUCAAUAACCUACAUUUUCUGAGCCUCAAUUACCAUCCUUAAAAUAAGAAUAUUAUAGAAUAUGAUAAUUCAAAGCAAUUAAAGGAAAUAAUCCAUGCAGAGCACCCAUUUCUAAGAAAAGUAAGAAACAGAUGUGGGGGGUCACUUAACUCAUCUGUCAUCUACAUUCCUUCAUAAUAAAAUUAAGAUAUUCAAAUAAUUAAUGCUGUACACUUUACUGGGCCUGGGCCUAAACAUUUGCUUCAUGGAGUAUUCAUUUCAAUCCUAGGAAGUUAUAUCAUGAAUGUUUCUGACAGAUUAGGAAACUGAAGCUUACCAAAAUAAAUUAGGUGCCCUAAAUUAGGCUGAAACUAUUUGAUUUCAGAGGGCUGCUCUCACUUGCAAGUUUUAUAGACAUAGCUAUCCUACCUAAUAGACAAUAAGACGUGUACUUUGGUGAAGCCUCUUAAGGAUGAGGGAGACAGAAUCAUGCCAUAUAAACAAUGACAUACUUUAAAAAUAUUGGCAAAUUUAUCUCAAAAUUAUGUAAAACCAUCUUAUGCAAAAGUGAGAGUUUACCUUCCAUGAAAAUAAGAAUAUUUGGAAGACCAUCUUAAUUGAUAACUGUUAUGAAUUGAAACUUUUUUCAAGAAUGCAUUUUGUUUUUUGCAUCUGUUUUUUUUCAUAAAUUAUAUAAUAGCAUAUACCAAAGUUCUUUGAAAAGUAUAAAGGCUGCAGAGUUUCCAUUGUUGCUAAAUGAUAAUGAGCCCAAUGAAAAUCCAUGAGGAUGCAGGUUCAAUCCCUGGCCUUGCUCAGUGGGUUAACGAUCUGGUGCUGCUGUAGUGUAGGUUGCAGAUGCAGCUCAAAUCCAGUGUUACUGUGGCUGUGGCAUAGGCCAGCAGCUGUAGCUAUGAUUUGACCCCUAACCUGGGAACUUCCAUAUGUCACUGGUGUGGCCUUAAAAAAAAAAGUAGAAUGCUUAAUGUAUGUAUCAUUUAAAUCAAUGGCCUACUUGCCCGUAGGUAAUUUUGAACCACCUCAGCUCUUCUGUAUUGCCAUUGCUGAAGAAAAAAAAUAUUGUAUCAUUCUUUUCAUAGAUUAUCACAGAAUAUUGUGUAGAGAAUCUGAAAGAGAAUGGAUGUGUGUACAUGUAUAACUGAAUCAAUUUAUUGUACAGCAGAAGAUAUCACCACAUGUACGUCAACUGUACUUCAAUAAAACUUUUAAAAA